UAACACGUGGGUAACCUGCCCAAGAGACUGGGAUAACACCUGGAAACAGAUGCUAAUACCGGAUAACAACACUAGACGCAUGUCUAGAGUUUGAAAGAUGGUUCUGCUAUCACUCUUGGAUGGACCUGCGGUGCAUUAGCUAGUUGGUAAGGUAACGGCUUACCAAGGCAAUGAUGCAUAGCCGAGUUGAGAGACUGAUCGGCCACAUUGGGACUGAGACACGGCCCAAACUCCUACGGGAGGCAGCAGUAGGGAAUCUUCCACAAUGGACGAAAGUCUGAUGGAGCAACGCCGCGUGAGUGAAGAAGGGUUUCGGCUCGUAAAGCUCUGUUGGUAGUGAAGAAAGAUAGAGGUAGUAACUGGCCUUUAUUUGACGGUAAUUACUUAGAAAGUCACGGCUAACUACGUGCCAGCAGCCGCGGUAAUACGUAGGUGGCAAGCGUUGUCCGGAUUUAUUGGGCGUAAAGCGAGUGCAGGCGGUUCAAUAAGUCUGAUGUGAAAGCCUUCGGCUCAACCGGAGAAUUGCAUCAGAAACUGUUGAACUUGAGUGCAGAAGAGGAGAGUGGAACUCCAUGUGUAGCGGUGGAAUGCGUAGAUAUAUGGAAGAACACCAGUGGCGAAGGCGGCUCUCUGGUCUGCAACUGACGCUGAGGCUCGAAAGCAUGGGUGGCGAACAGGAUUAGAUACCCUGGUAGUCCAU
This 700-nucleotide ribosomal RNA is filed under the name uncultured bacterium. RNAcentral's name for it is "bacterial SSU rRNA". It matches the Rfam family "Bacterial small subunit ribosomal RNA", at positions 111 to 798 of the family's 1533-position model. The record is from RNAcentral.